AGAGUUUGAUCCUGGCUCAGAACGAACGCUGGCGGCACGCCUAACACAUGCAAGUCGAACGGCAGCGGGCCUUCGGGCGCCGGCGAGUGGCGAACGGGUGAGUAACACGUGGAGACCUAUCCAUUGGUGGGGGACAACAGCUGGAAACGGCUGCUAAUACCGCAUAAUCCCUACGGGGGAAAGAUUUAUCGCCAUAGGAGGGUUCCGCGUCGGAUUAGCUAGUUGGUGGGGUAACGGCCUACCAAGGCAACGAUCCGUAGCUGGUCUUAGAGGAUGAUCAGCCACACUGGGACUGAGACACGGCCCAGACUCCUACGGGAGGCAGCAGUGGGGAAUAUUGCGCAAUGGAGGAAACUCUGACGCAGCGAUGCCGCGUGGGUGAAGAAGGCCUUAGGGUUGUAAAGCCCUUUCAGUGGGAACGAUGGUGACGGUACCCACAGAAGAAGCCCCGGCUAACUCCGUGCCAGCAGCCGCGGUAAUACGGAGGGGGCGAGCGUUGUUCGGAAUUAUUGGGCGUAAAGCGCGCGUAGGCGGUUUAUUAAGUCAGGAGUGAAAGCCCUGGGCUCAACCCAGGAACUGCUCUUGAAACUGGUAGACUGGAGUCCGGCAGAGGAUGGUGGAAUUCCCCGUGUAGAGGUGAAAUUCGUAGAUAUGGGGAGGAAGACCAGAGGCGAAGGCGGCCAUCUGGACCGGUACUGACGCUAAGGCGCGAGAGCGUGGGGAGCGAACAGGAUUAGAUACCCUGGUAGUCCACGCUGUAAACGAUGAGUGCUAGUUGUCGCGGGUAUCGACCCCUGCGGCAACGAAGUUAACACGUUAAGCACUCCGCCUGGGGAGUACGGCCGCAAGGCUAAAACUCAAAGGAAUUGACGGGGGCCCGCACAAGCGGUGGAGCAUGUGGUUUAAUUCGAUGCAACGCGAAGAACCU
RNAcentral lists this ribosomal RNA (928 nucleotides) under Magnetococcales bacterium WMHbinv6. RNAcentral describes it as "bacterial SSU rRNA". It matches the Rfam family "Bacterial small subunit ribosomal RNA", at positions 8 to 971 of the family's 1533-position model. Lineage: Bacteria; Pseudomonadati; Pseudomonadota; Magnetococcia; Magnetococcales. The record is from RNAcentral.